This 1503-nucleotide ribosomal RNA is filed under the name oral metagenome. RNAcentral describes it as "bacterial LSU rRNA". It matches the Rfam family "Bacterial large subunit ribosomal RNA", at positions 976 to 2481 of the family's 2925-position model. The record is from RNAcentral.
UACGGGAGUCAGGGCAUGAGUGACAAGGUUCAUGUCCGAGAGGGAAACAACCCAGAUCGACAGCUAAGGUCCCCAAGUUUAUACUAAGUGAAUAAGGAUGUCGGAUCGCUUAAACAACCAGGAUGUUGGCUUAGAAGCAGCCAUCAUUUAAAGAGUGCGUAAUAGCUCACUGGUCAAGCGUUCUUGCACCGAUAAUUUCCGGGACUAAGUAUAACACCGAAGCUUCGGAUGUACGACUAUGUCGUAUUAUGGUAGGGGAGCGUUCUGUAAGCCGUUGAAGGUGUGAGGUGAUUCACAUUGGAGGUAUCAGAAAUGAGGAUGCUGGCAUGAGUAACGAAAGUGGAGUUCAAGAAUCUCCACCACCGAAAAUCUAAGGAUUCCUGCGCAACGCUCAACGACGCAGGGUUAGUCGGCCCCUAAGGAAAGGCCGCGAGGCGUAUUUAAUGGGAAACAGGUUAAUAUUCCUGUACCGCCUUUAAGUUGUUAUACAAAGGAGGGACGCAGAAGUGAAAGUGGAGCUGGGUGCUGGAUAUCCCAGUUUAAGUGCUUAGUGAGUAAGGAUAGGCAAAUCCGUCUUUACAAUCAUGAAGUACGAGUACGAGCCUUAUGGCGAAGUCCACCUAAUCAUACUGCCAAGAAAAUCUUCGUUGUUAGACUUAUCGGCGACCGUACCGUAAACCGACACAGGUAGAUGGGAUGAGUAUUCUAAGGUGAUCGAGCGAACUGCAGUCAAGGAAUUCGGCAAAAUGACUCCGUAACUUCGGGAUAAGGAGUGCCUCCUCAGCAAUGAGAGGUCGCAGAGAAAUGGCCCAUGCGACUGUUUAUCAAAAACACAGGUCUAUGCUAACACGUAAGUGGAUGUAUAUGGACUGACACCUGCCCGGUGCUGGAAGGUUAAGAGGCGUUGUUAGGAUUUAUUCCGAGGCAACAAAUUGAAGCCCCAGUAAACGGCGGCCGUAACUAUAACGGUCCUAAGGUAGCGAAAUUCCUAGUCGGGUAAGUUCCGACCCGCACGAAAGGUGUAACGAUGUGGGCGCUGUCUCGACUGCAGGCUCGGUGAAAUUGAAAUCUCGGUGAAGAUGCCGGGUACCCGUGACAGGACGGAAAGACCCCGUGAACCUUUACUAUAGCUUGACAUUGUGUUUUGUUAUUACAUGUGUAGGAUAGGUGGGAGACAAUGAAAUGGGAACGCCAGUUUUCAUGGAGUCGCCCUUGAAAUACCACCCUUGUAUUAAUGGAAUCCUAACCGAGUUGAUUGAAUCAUCAACCGGGACAUUGUCUGGUGGGUAGUUUGACUGGGGCGGUCGCCUCCAAAAAAGUAACGGAGGCGCGCAAAGGUAACCUCAGCAUGGUCGGUAAUCAUGCGGUGAGUGUAAAGGCACAAGGUUGCUUAACUGUAAGACAUACAAGUCGAGCAGGUACGAAAGUAGGUCUUAGUGAUCCGGCGGUAGAGAAUGGAAUUGCCGUCGCUCAACGGAUAAAAGGUACUCCGGGGAUAACAGG